RNAcentral lists this ribosomal RNA (467 nucleotides) under uncultured bacterium. RNAcentral's name for it is "partial 16S ribosomal RNA". It matches the Rfam family "Bacterial small subunit ribosomal RNA", at positions 28 to 507 of the family's 1533-position model. The record is from RNAcentral.
GACGAACGCUGCCGGCGUGCUUAACACAUCCAAGUCGACCGAAAAGCCCUGGUUUUGUGGGGUGCUCCAGUGGCGGACGGGGGAGGAACACCUGGGGUACCUGCCCCUUACCUUGGGGGAAUCUCAGGAAAAUGGGGGUUAUACCGGCUAAGAGUUUCUGCCGCCUGGUUGGGGUUGGGAAGUUUGGGGGGUUGGGGAUGGAUACGCGGGUUAUCGGCUUGCUGGUGGGGGUGGGGCUUACCAAGGCUUUGCCGGGUAGCCGGCCUGGGAGGGCGACCGGCCACAAUGGGACUGAGAUACGGCCCAGACUGCUACGGGAGGCAGCAGUGGGGAAUAUUGCACAAUGGGCGGAAGCCUGAUGCAGCAACGCCGCGUGCGGGAUGACGGCCUUCGGGUUGUAAACCGAUGUCGCCUGUGACGAAGCGUGAGUGACGGUAAUGGGUAAAGAAGCACCGGCUAACUACGUG